This 253-nucleotide ribosomal RNA is filed under the name uncultured bacterium. RNAcentral's name for it is "partial 16S ribosomal RNA". It matches the Rfam family "Bacterial small subunit ribosomal RNA", at positions 524 to 776 of the family's 1533-position model. The record is from RNAcentral.
GACGGAGGGUGCAAGCGUUGCUCGGAAUCACUGGGCGUAAAGGGCGCGUAGGCGGGAUGGCAAGUCGGUCGUGAAAUCCUUCGGCUCAACCGAAGAACGUCGGCCGAUACUGCUGUUCUUGAGGGAUGCAGAGGAGAUUGGAAUUCCCGGUGUAGCGGUGAAAUGUGUAGAGAUCGGGAGGAACACCGGUGGCGAAGGCGGGUCUCUGGGCAUCUCCUGACGCUGAGGCGCGAAAGCGUGGGGAGCGAACAGG